Solanum tuberosum (potato) is the source of this 386-nucleotide long non-coding RNA. RefSeq lists it as uncharacterized. Lineage: Eukaryota; Viridiplantae; Streptophyta; Magnoliopsida; Solanales; Solanaceae. The transcript has 3 exons. The record is from RefSeq and is a predicted model, not a curated record.
UGUUAUCACCUCAUUUUUCAUUUACAUUGGACCCAUCUGCUAAUACGUGUACUUUUGUAAGCAAAUCACGUGUACUGAAUUCUGGUCAUCUUUUCCAUCCCAUUUAUUAAUAAAAAAGUACUUUGUACUGACGGACCUAAUUGUGCAUCUUCAUCUUCACAGAAGGCCUUGGAUGUCCGGUGAAACUUUAGUCAUUCUUCCACCUUCUUCUUUCAAUCGUUGAUGUUUAGGGAUGAAGCGUAGGAACUUCAUAUUCAAAAUAUCUUCCCAAUUUCUCCAUUUCUCAUAGGGAAUGUUGACAAAAAAAUUGAGAGUGUUGCAUGCCUUGAAGGAAGGUCACAGGUUCUAUCCUUUUUGCUAAAAAGUUUGGUUCCCACUGUUUGGGU